AGUAUUUGACAGUGAACCUUUGGAGAUUGACAAGACCAGGAUUUGUGUGGCCACAUUCACGAGUUAUAUGAGUGAUGCAGAAGCUGGUGGUGCCACUGUCUUCGCAGACAUGGGGGCUUUGAUUUCGCCCAAGAAGCCCCAUUCAGGUGAGAAUUUGGAAGAGUGCAGGUCUGGAGCAAGGGAAGGCAGACUAGGACAAGUCCCAGAGAAGGAGACAGAGGAGCAUGC
Suricata suricatta (meerkat) is the source of this 228-nucleotide long non-coding RNA. RefSeq lists it as uncharacterized. The record is from RefSeq and is a predicted model, not a curated record. The transcript is spliced from 4 exons. Lineage: Eukaryota; Metazoa; Chordata; Mammalia; Carnivora; Herpestidae.